UUUGGCUAAUCCUGUGCUUAAAAUUUGCAAUCUGAUAGGUUUUGGGCACUGCAUAUGGGCUAAAGGCUGUGUUUGGAUUUGACUUACUUAGUUGCAUCUUUCUGACAGCAACUAAUGCUGUUUUGUUACCACUCAUUUCUUCUCUCGUAGAUAAUGGCAGUGCAAGAUUCCUAAGCGUUUGCUGGGCAAGCUUCAUACUACUUUCUUUUGUUAUUCGAAUGAUAAUAAGUCAAACUGAAAAUCCAUUAUCCUGGGUGCCAGAAGAGGUGACAAAAGAGGUGUCUGCAAAUAGUCAGUUUUCGAGUUUUGAGGGUCCUGGAUCAUUUAAGAGUAUCAAUGGAAAAAAAUG
This is a long non-coding RNA of Ipomoea nil (Japanese morning glory), 349 nucleotides long. RefSeq lists it as uncharacterized. The record is from RefSeq and is a predicted model, not a curated record. The transcript has 3 exons. Lineage: Eukaryota; Viridiplantae; Streptophyta; Magnoliopsida; Solanales; Convolvulaceae.